This 489-nucleotide ribosomal RNA is filed under the name uncultured bacterium. Its description in RNAcentral is "partial 16S ribosomal RNA". It matches the Rfam family "Bacterial small subunit ribosomal RNA", at positions 355 to 860 of the family's 1533-position model. The record is from RNAcentral.
UGGGGAAUAUUGCACAAUGGGCGAAAGCCUGAUGCAGCAACGCCGCGUGAGUGAUGAAGGUCUUCGGAUUGUAAAGCUCUGUCUUUUGGGACGAUAAUGACGGUACCAAAGGAGGAAGCCACGGCUAACUACGUGCCAGCAGCCGCGGUAAUACGUAGGUGGCGAGCGUUGUCCGGAUUUACUGGGCGUAAAGGGUGCGUAGGCGGAUGUUUAAGUGAGAUGUGGAAUACCCGGGCUUAACUUGGGUGCUGCAUUUCAAACUGGAUAUCUAGAGUGCAGGAGAGGAGAAUGGAAUUCCUAGUGUAGCGGUGAAAUGCGUAGAGAUUAGGAAGAACACCAGUGGCGAAGGCGAUUCUCUGGACUGUAACUGACGCUGAGGCACGAAAGCGUGGGUAGCAAACAGGAUUAGAUACCCUGGUAGUCCACGCCGUAAACGAUGAGUACUAGGUGUAGGAGGUAUCGACCCCUUCUGUGCCGCAGUAAACACAU